CUCGGUGAUUAGAGCGUCGUCGACCUACCUAAUCCCAUUCCGAACUUAGAAGUAAAAGGCGACAGCGGGGACGAUAGCUUUCCGGCAACGGAACGUGAAAAUACCUCGUUGCCGGGA
RNAcentral lists this ribosomal RNA (117 nucleotides) under Candidatus Woesebacteria bacterium RIFCSPHIGHO2_01_FULL_39_23. Lineage: Bacteria; Candidatus Woeseibacteriota. The record is from RNAcentral. RNAcentral also lists the same sequence under 1 other name.